Molecule: long non-coding RNA, 5383 nt
Filed under: Homo sapiens (human)
Lineage: Eukaryota; Metazoa; Chordata; Mammalia; Primates; Hominidae
Description: non-protein coding lnc-LGALS7B-1:4
Source: RNAcentral
AACCCACUCACGUCCCCUUCCAUGCUAUGGAAGCUCUGUUCUUUUGCUCUUUGCAAUAAAUCUUGCUGCUGCUCACUCUUUGGGUCCACACUGCCUUUAUGAGCCAUAACACUCACCGCGAAGGUCUGCAACUUCUCUCCAGAGGCCAGCAAGACCACGAACCCACUGGGAGGAAUGAACAACUCCGGACGGGAGGAACGAACCACUCUGGACGCACCGCCUUAAGAGCUAUAACACUCACUGCGAAGGUCUGCAGCUUCAUUCCUGAAGCCAGCGAGACCACGAACCCACCAGAAGGAAGAAACUCUGAACACACCCAAACAUCAGAAGGAACAAACUCCGAACACAUCAGAAGGAACAAACUGCGGACAUGCCGCCUUUAAGAACUGUAACACUCACCACGAGAUUCUGCGGCUUCAUUCUUGAAGUCAGUGAGACCAAGAACCCACCAAUUCCGGAUACAUUUUGGUGACCCAGAUGGGACUAUUACCUAUCGCCAAGCGGUGAGACCACUGCCUAUCGCUGAGCGGUGAGACUAUCACCUAUCGCCAAGCAGUGAGUACCACUGGACCCCUUUCACUUGCUAUUCUGUCCUAUUUUUCCUUAGAAUUUGGGGGCUAAAUACCAGGCACCUGUCUGCCAGUUAAAAGUGACUAGCAUGGCCGCUGGACUAAAGACAUGGGUGUCAGGCUUUCUGGGAAAGGGCUCUCUAACAACUCCCGACUCUUUGGAGUUGGGAGCGUUGGUUUGCCUAGAACCAGCUUCUGCUUUUCCUGUACUUCUGGGCUGAGCCGAGGGUCGACAGAGAGGAAAGCCAUGCAGCUCUAGGGUCCCGACAAGACAACAAGUUCGUUGACCCUGCAGCCAUGAGCGGAACACUCAAAGGCAUGUCGCCCAAGCGAGACUCGCCCAUCUAUCCUAUCUAUCCUGACUCUUGCCCCCGGGUCCUAAUGCCUGCCAGACAAACUUCCUCUCACCUCUCUUCUCCGAGUUUAGUCCUGCUUCUAAAAUUUGCUGUCUCUGGUGCUUUUCUAGUUUCUCCUAUAAGAACGACUUCUAGAACUCUGUUACAUUCUUUAGGCACCCAGGCUCACCAAUCAGAAAGACAUAAUUUUUGCCCAAAGCCCUGUCAUAGUGGCGACUACCUGGAAUUUUACGAUCCCUCCUCAGACUAACAGGCCUAACAAAGGUAUUCCUGAAGCUAGGAUAUGGGGAGCCUCAGAAAUUGUAGCUUUCCUAUUCAUAUAAGUGAGGACAAAAGGUGUCACUCUUCCAACCCUGGAGAUCCCUUCCCUCCCUCAGGGUAUGGCCCUCCACUUCAUUUUUGGGGCAUAACAUCUUUAUAGGACAGGGGUAAAGUCCCAAUACUAACAGGAGAAUGCUUAGAACUCUAACAGGUUUUCAAGAAUGCGUCGGUAAGGGCCACUAAAUCCGACCUUCCUUGGUCCUCCAUGUGGUCUGAGAGGAAAACUAGUGUUUCUGCUGCUGCGUUGAUGAGCACAACUAUUCCGAUCAGCAGGGUACAGGGACUGUUGCAGUUUCUUGGGCAGGGGGAGAAACAAAACAAACCAAAACCGCGGGUGGUUUUGUCUUUCAGAUGGGAAACAUUCAGCCAUCAACAGGCUCACCCUUGAAAUGCAUCCUAAGCCGUUGGGACCAAUUUGACCCAUAAACCCUGAAAAAGAGGAGGCUCAUUUUUUUUCUGCACUAUGGCCUGGCCCCAGUAUUCUCUCUCUGAUGGGGAAAAAUGGCCACCUGAGGGAAGUACAAAUUACAAUACUAUCCUGCAGCUUGACCUUUUCUGUAAGAGGGAAGGCAAAUGGAGUGAAAUACCUUAUGUCCAAGCUUUCUUUUCAUGGAGGGAGAAUACACAACUAUGCAAAGCUUACAAUUUACAUCCCACAGGAGGACCUCUCAGCUUACCACCAUAUCCUAGCCUCCCUAUAGCUCCCAUUCCUAUUAAUGAUAAUCUUCCUCUAAUCUCCCCUGCCCAGAAGGAAAUAUGCAAAGAAAUCUCCAAAGGACCACAAAACCCUCCUGGCUAUUGGUUAUGUCCCCUUCAAGCUGUAGGGGGAGGGGAAUUUGGUCCCACCCGGGUACAUGUCCCCUUCUCCAUCUCUGAUUUAAAGCAGAUCAAGGCAGACCUGGGGAAGUUUUCAGAUGAUCCUGAUAGGUACAUACAUGCCCUACAGGGUCUAGGGCAAACUUUCGACCUCGCUUGGAGAGAUGUCAUGCUACUGUUAGAUCAAACCCUGGCCUUUAAUGAAAAGAAUGCAGCUUUAGCUGCAGCCUGAGAGUUUGGAGAUACCUGGAAUCUUAAUCAAGUAAAUGAUAGAAUGACACCUGAAGAAAGGGACAAAUUCCCUAUCGGUCAGCAAGCCAUCCCCAGUAUGGAUCCCCACUGGGACCUUGACUUAGAUCAUGGGGACUGGAGUCGUAAACAUCUGUUGACCUGUGUUCUAGAAGGACUAAGGAGAAUUAGAAAAAGCCCAUGAAUUAUUCAAUGAUGUCCACCAUAACUCAGGGAAAGGAAGAAAAUCCUUCUGCCUUCCUCGAGCAGCUAUAGGAGGCCUUAAGAAAAUAUACUCCCCGGUCACCCGAAUCACUCAAGGGUCAAUUGAUUCUAAAAGAUAAGUUUAUUAUCCAAUCAGCCGCAGAUAUCAGGAGAAAGCUCCAAAAGCAAGCCCUGGGCCCUGAACAAAAUUUGGAGGCAUUAUCAAAACCUGGCAACCUCAGUGUUCUAUAAUAGGGACCAAGAGGAACAGGCCCAAAAGGAAAAGUGAGAUUGGAGAAAGGCCGCAGCCUUAGUUAUGGCCCUCAGACUAACAAACCUUAGUGGUUCAGAGAGGACAGAUAGUAGAGGCCAAUCACCCGGUAGGGCUUGUUAUCAUGCGGUUUACUAGGACACUUUAAAAAAGAUUGUCCAAUGAGAAACAAGCUGCCCCCUCGUCCAUGUCCACUAUGCCGAGGCAAUCACUGGAAGGUGCACUGCCCCAGCGGACGAAGGUUCCCUAGGUCAGAAGCCCCCAACCAGAUGAUCCAACAACAGGACAGAGGGUGCCCGGGGCAAGCGCCAGCUCAUGUCAUCACCCUCACUGAGCCCCGGGUACGUUUAACCAUUGAGGGCCAGGAAACUGACUUCCUCCUGGACACUGGCGCGGCCUUCUCAGUGUUAAUCUCCUGUCCUGGACGACUGUCCUCAAGGUCUGUUACCAUCCGAUGAAUCCUGGGACAGCCUGUAACCAGGUAUUUCUCCCACCUCUCAGUUGUAAUUGGGAGACUUUGCUCUUUUCACAUGCCUUUCUUAUUAUGCCUGAAAGUUCCACACCCUUAUUAGGCAGGGACAUAUUAGCCAAGGCUGGAGCUAUUAUCUACAUCAAUAUGGGGAACAAGUUACCCAUUUGUUGUCCCCCUACUUGUGGAGGGAAUCAACCCUGAAGUCUGGGCAUUGGAAGGACAAUUUGGAAGGGCAAAAAAUGCCCGCCCAUUACAAAUCAGGUUAAAAGAUCCCACUGCUUUUCCUUAUCAAAGGCAAUAUCCCUUAAAGCCUGAAGCUCAUAAACGAUUACAGAAUAUUGUUAAACAUUUAAAAGCUCCAGGCUUAGUAAGGAAAUGCAGCAGUCCCUACAACACCCCAAUUCUAGGAGUACAAAAACUAAAUGGUCAGUGGAGACUAGUGCAAGAUCUUAGACUCAUCAAUGAGGCAGUAAUUUCUCUAUAUCCAGCUGUAACCAACACCUAUACCCUGCUCUCUCAAAUAACAGAGGCAGCAGAAUGGUUCACAGUUCUAGACCUCAAGGAUGCCUUCUUCUGUAUUCCCCUACACUCUGACUCCCAGUUUCUCUUUGCCUUUGAGGAUCCCACAGACCACACGUCCCAAAUUAUGUGGACGGUCUUGCCCCAAGGGUUUAGGGAUAGGCCUCAUCUGUUUGGUCAGGCACUGGCCCAAGAUCUAGGCCACUUCUCAAGUCCAGGCACUCUGGUCCUUCAAUAUAUGGAUGAUUUACUUUUGGCUCCCAGUUCAGAAGCCUCGAGCCAGCAGGCUACUCUAGAUCUCUUGAACUUUCUCGCUAAUCAAGGGUACAAGGUGUCUAGGUCAAAGGCCCAGCUUUGCCUACAGCAGGUCAAAUAUCUAGGCCUAAUCUUAGCCAGAGGGACCAGGGCCCUCAGCAAGGAUGGAGAGGGAGGACAGGGAGGAGAGGGAGAAGGAGGGGAAGGAGGGGAAGGAGGAAGGGAGGAGAGGGAGGGAGGGGAAGGAGGAAGGGAGGAGAGGGAGGGAGGGGAGGGAGAAAGGGGAGGGAAAGAAAGAAAGGGACCUGGGAAUAUGUUAAUGGACAAAACAGAAAGAAAUAGUUUACUGUCUGUCUUCCCCACUGAGUUGGGAACGCCAUGACAACAGGGCCUGGGACUGUCCUAGUCAAGACUGGGUUCCCAGCACCAGGCUCUGGGCCCUGUGCAGAAAUCAGUGUAUGAAAUAUUUUGCUUCUGGUUCAGUCCUAAAGGGCCAACCCUCCCACGGACAACUACAUACGCUGGCUGGACAAGAAACAAACAAUUAUCUGAAGGCACUGGGCAGAUUCUGGAGGGAGUGACCACUUAGGAGAGUGGCAGAACACUCUCUCGGUGUUUUUGAAAAUGGUUUUGAAAACUUUCAGCCUGAGGGCAGACUGAAAUUGUGCUUGAAGAGCCACAGGAUAGAGUCCAAGGUGACCAAAGCUGCCGGGAAGUGAGGGGGGAUAUUCCAAAGAGGGGAGAGCCAGAGCGAGGAGUCCCGAAUUCUGUGUAUCAACUCUGCCCUAAUCUCUUGCUGGGAGAUGUAUGUUUUUGUUGUUGUUUUUGUUUUGAGAUGGGUUCUUGCACUGUCACCCAGGCUGGGUGCAGUGGCACGACCACAGCUCACUGCAGUUUUGACCUCCCUGGUUCGAGCCAUCCUCCCACCUCAGCCUCCAGAGUAGCUGGGAGUGUGGUCAUUCAUCACACCCAGCUAAUUUUUGUUAGAGACAAGGUCUCAGUGUGUUGCCCUGGCUGAAGAUUAGUUUUUAAAUCUUUUGCUGGGGGUGCAUGUAUGGUCUGUAAAUCAGCAAGAAGCCAGGCACAGUGGUUCACGCUUGUAGUCCCAGCACAUUGGGAGGCCGAGUCAGGAGGAUCGCUUGAGUUCAAGAGUUGAAGACCAGACUGGGCAACAUAGCAAGACCUCAUCUCUACAAAAAAAUAAAAAUAAAAACAGAAAAACCAAAAAAACUAAUUCCAACUAAGCUACCAAAACACGAAACUCAACACUCUUUGGAACUAUAUGAUAGAAUCCAGAGUAUCCACAUCUUAUUCCUAUAUCCCAAUAUCCAAGAAACAAUCCAAACUAACUCAAAAUACAAAGAAACAGGAA